GAUGAACGCUGACAGAAUGCUUAACACAUGCAAGUCUACUUGAUUCUACUUCGGUAGUUGAUGGUGGCGGACGGGUGAGUAACGCGUAAAGAAUCUGCCCUUUAGUUUGGGAUAACCUUUGGAAACGAAGGCUAAUACCGGAUAUUAUGGAGACGACGCAUGGCGACUCCAUGAAAGCUAUAUGCGCUAGAGAAGGACUUGGCGUCCCAGUAGUUAGUUGCUGAGGUAAUGGCACACCAAGACCGCGAUAGGUAACCGGCCUGAGCGGGUGAUCGGCCACAAGGGAAAUGAGAAACGGUCCUUACUCCUACGGGAGGCAGCAGUGGGGAAUAUUGGACAAUGGGCCACAAGCCUGAUCCAGCAAUUCUGUGUGCACGAUGAAGGUCUUCGGAUUGUAAAGUGCUUUCAGUAGGGAAGAAAAAAAUGACGGUACCUACAGAAGAAGCGACGGCUAAAUAUGUGCCAGCAGCCGCCGUAA
This 478-nucleotide ribosomal RNA is filed under the name uncultured bacterium. RNAcentral describes it as "partial 16S ribosomal RNA". It matches the Rfam family "Bacterial small subunit ribosomal RNA", at positions 28 to 523 of the family's 1533-position model. The record is from RNAcentral.